AUCCACGGCCAUGCUACCCUGAACAAGCCCUAUCCCAUCUGAUCUUGGAAGCUAAGCAGAUUCGAGCCUGGUUAGUACUUGGAUGGGAGACCACCUCGGAAGACUAGGUGCUGUAGGCA
Molecule: ribosomal RNA, 119 nt
Filed under: Pteropus alecto (black flying fox)
Lineage: Eukaryota; Metazoa; Chordata; Mammalia; Chiroptera; Pteropodidae
Source: RNAcentral